GAGUUUGAUCGUGGCUCAGGGUGAACGCUGGCGGCGUGCUUAAGACAUGCAAGUCGAACGGUCCCUUCGGGGAUAGUGGCGCACGGGUGAGUAACGCGUAACUGACCUACCCCAAAGUCGCGGAUAACGAUUCGAAAGAAUCGCUAAUACGUGAUGUGCUGUCAGAUUGUGUUCUGCCAGUAAAGAUUUAUUGCUUUGGGAUGGGGUUGCGUUCCAUCAGCUAGUUGGUGGGGUAAAGGCCUACCAAGGCGACGACGGAUAGCCGGCCUGAGAGGGUGGCCGGCCACAGGGGCACUGAGACACGGGUCCCACUCCUACGGGAGGCAGCAGUUAGGAAUCUUCCACAAUGGGCGAAAGCCUGAUGGAGCGGCGCCGCGUGAGGGACGAAGGUCUUCGGAUUGUAAACCUCUGAAUCAGGGACGAAGACGCGUAAGCGGGAUGACGGUACCUGAGUAAUAGCACCGG
This 465-nucleotide ribosomal RNA is filed under the name uncultured Deinococci bacterium. RNAcentral describes it as "bacterial SSU rRNA". It matches the Rfam family "Bacterial small subunit ribosomal RNA", at positions 9 to 496 of the family's 1533-position model. The record is from RNAcentral. Lineage: Bacteria; Thermotogati; Deinococcota; Deinococci.